RNAcentral lists this ribosomal RNA (933 nucleotides) under uncultured archaeon. RNAcentral's name for it is "bacterial SSU rRNA". It matches the Rfam family "Archaeal small subunit ribosomal RNA", at positions 1 to 922 of the family's 1478-position model. The record is from RNAcentral.
UUCCGGUUGAUCCCGCCGGACCCGACUGCUAUUUGGGUGAGGAUAAGCCAUGCGAGUCGAAUGGGAUACCUAAAAUUCCCAUGGCAGACUGCUCAGUAACACAUGAUCAACUUACCCUACGGAGAAAAAUAACCUCGGGAAACUGAGGAUAAUGAUUCAUAGUUGAAAAGGCUUGGAAAAGUUUUUCAAUGAAAUGGAUAAGAAAAAUGGUUCUUAUUUGCCAUAGGAUAGGAUCGUGCUCGAUUAUGGUUGUUGGUGAGGUAAAGGCUCACCAAGCCGAUAAUCGAUGGGGGCCGUGAGAGCGGGAGCCCCGAGAUGGGUACUGAGACAGCGACCCAGGCCUUACGAGGCGCAGCAGGUACGAAACCUCCGCAAUACACGAAAGUGUGACGGGGUUACCCAAAGUGUUCUUAUAGAACUGUGGCAGGUGAGUAAUGUCCCCUGCUAGAAAGGAGAGGGCAAGGCUGGUGCCAGCCGCCGCGGUAAAACCAGCUCUUCAAGUGGUCGGGAUAAUUAUUGGGCUUAAAGUGUCCGUAGCCGGUUUAGUAAGUUCCUGUAAAAUCAGGUAGCUUAACUAUCUGCAUGCUAGGAAUACUGCUAUACUAGAGGGCGGGAGAGGUCUGAGGUACUACAGGGGUAGGGGUGAAAUCUUAUAAUCCUUGUAGGACCACCAGUGGCGAAGGCGUCAGACUGGAACGCGCCUGACGGUGAGGGACGAAAGCCAGGGGAGCGAACCGGAUUAGAUACCCGGGUAGUCCUGGCCGUAAACGAUGCAUACUANGUGAUGAUACGGCCAUGAGCCGUGUCAGUGCCGUAGGGAAACCGUUAAGUGUGCCGCCUGGGAAGUACGGUCGCAAGGCUAAAACUUAAAGGAAUUGGCGGGGGAGCACCACAAGGGGUGAAGCCUGCGGUUCAAUUGGAUUCAACGCCGGA